MicroRNA precursor from Astatotilapia calliptera (eastern happy), 58 nucleotides. The record is from Ensembl. NCBI's taxonomy places the organism in Eukaryota, Metazoa, Chordata, Actinopteri, Cichliformes, Cichlidae.
AAGUUCUGUGAUACACUUAGACUCUAACUGCCCGCAGUCAGUGCAUUACAGAACUUUG